This 425-nucleotide ribosomal RNA is filed under the name uncultured bacterium. RNAcentral's name for it is "bacterial SSU rRNA". It matches the Rfam family "Bacterial small subunit ribosomal RNA", at positions 354 to 796 of the family's 1533-position model. The record is from RNAcentral.
GUGGGGAAUAUUGGACAAUGGGCGCAAGUCUGAUCCAGCCAUGCCGCGUGAGUGAUGAAGGCCUUAGGGUUGUAAAGCUCUUUUGUCCGGGAAGAUAAUGACUGUACCGGAAGAAUAAGCCCCGGCUAACUUCGUGCCAGCAGCCGCGGUAAUACGAAGGGGGCUAGCGUUGUUCGGAAUCACUGGGCGUAAAGCGCACGUAGGCGGACCAUUAAGUCAGGGGUGAAAGCCUGGAGCUCAACUCCAGAACUGCCUUUGAUACUGAUGGUCUAGAGUAUGGAAGAGGUUGGUGGAACUGCGAGUGUAGAGGUGAAAUUCGUAGAUAUUCGCAAGAACACCGGUGGCGAAGGCGGCCAACUGGUCCAUUACUGACGCUGAGGUGCGAAAGCGUGGGGAGCAAACAGGAUUAGAAACCCCGGUAGUCC